RNAcentral lists this transfer RNA (91 nucleotides) under Pseudoselenomonas ruminantium. RNAcentral describes it as "Selenomonas ruminantium (feces metagenome) tRNA-Ser". It matches the Rfam family "tRNA". From Rfam's summary of the family: Transfer RNA (tRNA) molecules are approximately 80 nucleotides in length. Their secondary structure includes four short double-helical elements and three loops (D, anti-codon, and T loops). The record is from RNAcentral. Lineage: Bacteria; Bacillati; Bacillota; Negativicutes; Selenomonadales; Selenomonadaceae.
GGAGUGGUACUCAAGUGGCUUAAGAGGACGGUUUGCUAAAUCGUUAGGCUGGGUAACUGGUGCGGAGGUUCGAAUCCUCUCCACUCCGCCA